This is a long non-coding RNA of Dendroctonus ponderosae (mountain pine beetle), 599 nucleotides long. RefSeq lists it as uncharacterized. Lineage: Eukaryota; Metazoa; Arthropoda; Insecta; Coleoptera; Curculionidae. The transcript is spliced from 2 exons. The record is from RefSeq and is a predicted model, not a curated record.
AAUAUUUUCAUGUCCGACCCCAUGAUCUCAUCUACGAGUCAAAAUCAAUAGUUAUCGAUCGAGUAAUACAGCAAAAAAUUUGCUUGCAACCGACAGACAGAUUUAAAUAUUUACAAGCUGCAGCACGGAACAUCUUCCAGAAGGGGGGAUCUUCUGUGAACUGAAGUUCUUUAAGUUAAGUUAAGAAGUUUAGUUGCAAAAUUUCAAAAUUAAAUUGUUUCUGUAGUUUUGAUGAGAACCACGAGUUUGUUAAGCAACAUUGAUAAUUUUGGGUAAAUGGUUUCUGUCAAACAAUGCAGAAACAUGUCAAAUUCACAUUUUGUCUUUUGCAAAGUGUUUGAAAGUUGACUUUUGAGGUUGACUUACAAAUCUUGGAAUGACGUCCAAACUGAGGACAAUAUUUUUAGGUGGAAGUUUGAAUUAUGGCUGAAGAAUUUGAACUUGAGCAGUGUAUUUUAGGACAAACGCGUCUUAUAACCUGUUAAACAGUUCUACAAUGUUAGUCAGGGGCAAAUAAUGGAAUUCCUAGUCUCUGAUGUUGUAGCCUAAAAGAAGUCGACUCUUUUUCCUCUCUUACUACAAUAAACGCGUAAUAUGUU